Molecule: ribosomal RNA, 243 nt
Filed under: uncultured bacterium
Lineage: Bacteria
Description: partial 16S ribosomal RNA
Rfam family: Bacterial small subunit ribosomal RNA
Source: RNAcentral
CCGAGUGGCGGACGGGUGAGUAACGCGUGGGUAACCUGCCUCAUACAGGGGGAUAACGGUUAGAAAUGACCGCUAAUACCGCAUAAGCGCACAGUACCGCAUGGUACGGUGUGAAAAACUCCGGUGGUAUGAGAUGGACCCGCGUCUGAUUAGCUAGUUGGUGGGGUAACGGCCCACCAAGGCGACGAUCAGUAGCCGACCUGAGAGGGUGACCGGCCACAUUGGGACUGAGACACGGCCCAG